CUCAGGAUGAACGCUGGCGGCGUGCUUAACACAUGCAAGUCGAACGGAGUUAAGGAGCUUGCUCUUAAACUUAGUGGCGGACGGGUGGAGUAACGCGUGGGUAACCUGCCUUUCACUGGGGGAUAACAGUUAGAAAUGACUGCUAAUACCGCAUAAGCGCACGGGAUCGCAUGAUCUAGUGUGAAAAACUCCGGGUGGUGAAAGAUGGACCCGCGUCUGAUUAGCUAGUUGGUGAGGUAACGGCCCACCCAAGGCGACGAUCAGUAGCCGGCCUGAGAGGGUGAACGGCCACAUUGGGACUGAGACACGGCCCAAACUCCUACGGGAGGCAGCAGUGGGGAAUAUUGCACAAUGGGGGAAACCCUGAUUGCAGCGACGCCGCGUGAGUGAAGAAGUAUUUCGGUAUGUAAAGCUCUAUCAGCAGGGAAGAAAAUGACGGUACCUGACUAAGAAGCCCCGGCUAACUACGUGCCAGCCGCCGC
Molecule: ribosomal RNA, 482 nt
Filed under: uncultured bacterium
Lineage: Bacteria
Description: bacterial SSU rRNA
Rfam family: Bacterial small subunit ribosomal RNA
Source: RNAcentral